AUGCAGGAGGUGAAAAUUCAUUGUCUACUCAGUUUCUCAGUUUUCCUCUUUCAAAAGCAAGAGAUUUUUCAAGACCUUGCUCCACUGCUGUGGCACUCCUUUGGCACCGUUGCUGCACUGCUCCAGGAGAUUGUGUCAAUCUACCCUUCACUUUCAUCUCCUACUUUGUUGCCAGUUGCAUCAAACCAUGUCUGCAAUGCACUUGCACUUCUUCAGUGUGUUGCUUCACACCCUGAGACUAGGAUCUCGUUCUUGAAUGCUCACAUCCCACUGUACAUGUACCCGUUCCUAAAUACUACCAGCAAGACCAGACCUUUUGAGUACUUGAGGCUUACCAGCUUGGGUGUUGUUGGUGCUCUUGUGAAGGAAUCCCAACAAUAA
Molecule: ribosomal RNA, 381 nt
Filed under: Triticum aestivum (bread wheat)
Lineage: Eukaryota; Viridiplantae; Streptophyta; Magnoliopsida; Poales; Poaceae
Description: partial small subunit ribosomal RNA
Source: RNAcentral